UGGGGAAUAUUGCACAAUGGGCGCAAGCCUGAUGCAGCGACGCCGCGUGAGGGAUGGAGGCCUUCGGGUUGUAAACCUCUUUCGCCAGUGAAGCAGGCCAUCUUCUUUGUGGGGUGGUUGACGGUAGCUGGAUAAGAAGCGCCGGCUAACUACGUGCCAGUAGCCGCGGUAAUACGUAGGGCGCGAGCGUUGUCCGGAAUUAUUGGGCGUAAAGAGCUCGUAGGCGGCUGGUCGCGUCUGUCGUGAAAUCCCCUGGCUUAACUGGGGGCUUGCGGUGGGUACGGGCCGGCUUGAGUGCGGUAGGGGAGACUGGAAUUCCUGGUGUAGCGGUGGAAUGCGCAGAUAUCAGGAGGAACACCGGUGGCGAAGGCGGGUCUCUGGGCCGUUACUGACGCUGAGGAGCGAAAGCGUGGGGAGCGAACAGG
RNAcentral lists this ribosomal RNA (425 nucleotides) under bacterium. RNAcentral describes it as "partial 16S ribosomal RNA". It matches the Rfam family "Bacterial small subunit ribosomal RNA", at positions 355 to 776 of the family's 1533-position model. The record is from RNAcentral.